GGACCAUAUCCUGGAAACCAAAGAACCUUCCAUGAUGGAGUAAGAGGCAGGAUUGGGCCAGCAGGUGGCUCCUGGGGUGCAAGUGGAGGGCAGUUUGCCAGGGAGAGCUAUUCUUUUCAGAAGGAAGCACUGAGUUGACAAGAAAUGAGGCCAUAUGCCCCACCACGGGGAGAGCUCAGCCAGACGGAAUCAUUUAAUUCAGCCUUGCCGAUAAAUUCUGAAGUUUCCCAGCCCAACUUCCCUUCCUAUGCCUUAUCAGCCUCAUAACAGCUAUGCUCAGAAAAGAAUCAUCUCAGGAGCAGGUGGCUCGUAUUCUUAACUGCCACCUGAUGUGUUUUAGUCCCAGAUGAAUUUUUACAAGUCUUGGUUUUAUCUGCAUCCUGGACUUUUUAUUUCUUUGGACUGACUGUAAAGUAAGUUGCUUCUAAGCGGUGGAGGCUCUAGGAACAUCAGAGAGGGAUAAAAGAUGGUCUUUUCUUGACUGUGAACUUGUUUCUAUUUCCCAAGCAAAUAUAAAGCUGUCUUCCUUAAGGGGGGUCAUUAGUAAGCGGCUGGCUGUGUUCUUCCCUCUUCAGGUAUGUCCUCUACCCUUUGGAUCUGUACAACGACAGCGCCUACUAUGCUCUGACCAAGUUUAAAAAGCAGUUCCUGUAUGAUGAGAUCGAAGCUGAGGUGAACCUGUGUUUUGAUCAGUUUGUCUACAAGCUGGCAGACCAGAUCUUUGCUUACUACAAAGCCAUGGCUGGCAG
This 749-nucleotide small RNA is filed under the name Pongo abelii (Sumatran orangutan). RNAcentral describes it as "retained intron". The record is from RNAcentral. Lineage: Eukaryota; Metazoa; Chordata; Mammalia; Primates; Hominidae.